AUGCUUCUUGAAGCAUUUCAUACCCUCGGAAGCACUCUAAAUAGUUAUGCUUCAAUUAGGAUGUCAUCAAUGAAAAGAGAACCAAAAAGGAACACCACAAUAAAGAAUCAAGCAACCAGGGCAUUCAUGCUAGUAAAGCUUGUAGUAGAAUCAAGAACACAAGCAGGAAAAUUAAAACGGUCCGAGCACAUCAGUCCCCACUCCAUACUUCCUAGCCAUCCAUUCUACAUCUCAUCUCAAACAGUGAAAAAAGGUGUAACUAUUAGACCAACAUCCCUUGUCGUAAAAAAAGUAGCAGGACAGAAAUAA
This 309-nucleotide ribosomal RNA is filed under the name Triticum aestivum (bread wheat). RNAcentral describes it as "partial small subunit ribosomal RNA". Lineage: Eukaryota; Viridiplantae; Streptophyta; Magnoliopsida; Poales; Poaceae. The record is from RNAcentral.